GGCUGGUCCAAAAGUAGUGAGUUAUCUCAGUUUAUUGUUUAUAACCAGUUACAGAUUGAACUCCUGUUCUUUCCCGUUUUCUCACUACUGCACUUGACUAAUCUAAA
Molecule: Y RNA, 107 nt
Filed under: Propithecus coquereli (Coquerel's sifaka)
Lineage: Eukaryota; Metazoa; Chordata; Mammalia; Primates; Indriidae
Description: Y RNA (ENSPCOG00000006591.1)
Rfam family: Y RNA
About the family: Y RNAs are components of the Ro ribonucleoprotein particle (Ro RNP), in association with Ro60 and La proteins. The Y RNAs and Ro60 and La proteins are well conserved, but the function of the Ro RNP is not known. In humans the RNA component can be one of four small RNAs -- hY1, hY3, hY4 and hY5.
Source: Rfam by way of RNAcentral